UAGAGUUUGAUCCUGGCUCAGGAUGAACGCUAGCGGCAGGCCUAACACAUGCAAGUCGAGGGGUAGAGGGUGCUUGCACCCUUGAGACCGGCGCACGGGUGCGUAACGCGUAUGCAACCUACCUAUUGCAGGGGAAUAGCCCAGGGAAACUUGGAUUAAUGCCCCAUAGUCCAUAUUGAGAGCAUUCGAUAUAUGGUAAAGAUUUAUCGGCAAUAGAUGGGCAUGCGUCCCAUUAGCUAGUUGGUAUGGUAACGGCAUACCAAGGCUACGAUGGGUAGGGGCCCUGAGAGGGGGAUCCCCCACACUGGUACUGAGACACGGACCAGACUCCUACGGGAGGCAGCAGUGAGGAAUAUUGGACAAUGGGCGGGAGCCUGAUCCAGCCAUGCCGCGUGCAGGAAGACUGCCCUAUGGGUUGUAAACUGCUUUUUUACGGGAAGAAACACCCCCACGUGUGGGGGCUUGACGGUACCGUACGAAUAAGGACCGGCUAACUCCGUGCCAGCAGCCGCGGUAAUACGGAGGGUCCGAGCGUUAUCCGGAAUCAUUGGGUUUAAAGGGUCCGUAGGCGGGCGUCUAAGUCAGUGGUGAAAUCUCGCGGCUCAACCGUGAAAUUGCCAUUGAUACUGGUCGCCUUGAAUUAGUGUGAAGUGGCUAGAAUAUGUAGUGUAGCGGUGAAAUGCUUAGAUAUUACAUAGAAUACCGAUUGCGAAGGCAGGUCACUAACACUAUAUUGACGCUGAUGGACGAAAGCGUGGGGAGCGAACAGGAUUAGAUACCCUGGUAGUCCACGCCGUAAACGAUGGAUACUAGCUGUCCGGCCUGCAUUGGUAGGCUGGGUGGCCAAGCGAAAGUGAUAAGUAUCCCACCUGGGGAGUACGUUCGCAAGAAUGAAACUCAAAGGAAUUGACGGGGGCCCGCACAAGCGGUGGAGCAUGUGGUUUAAUUCGAUGAUACGCGAGGAACCUUACCAGGGCUUAAAUGUAGUCUGACAGGGGUGGAAACACCCCCUUCUUCGGACAGACUGCAAGGUGCUGCAUGGUUGUCGUCAGCUCGUGCCGUGAGGUGUCAGGUUAAGUCCUAUAACGAGCGCAACCCCUGUCGUUAGUUGCCAGCAUGUAAAGAUGGGAACUCUAACGAGACUGCCGGUGCAAACCGUGAGGAAGGUGGGGAUGACGUCAAAUCAUCACGGCCCUUACGUCCUGGGCCACACACGUGCUACAAUGGCAGGUACAAUGGGCAGCCACGCCGCAAGGCGGAGCGAAUCCACAAAACCUGUCUCAGUUCAGAUCGGGGUCUGCAACUCGACCCCGUGAAGCUGGAAUCGCUAGUAAUCGGAUAUCAGCCAUGAUCCGGUGAAUACGUUCCCGGGCCUUGUACACACCGCCCGUCAAGCCAUGGAAGCUGGAAGCACCUGAAGUCCGUCACCGCGAGGAGCGGCCUAGGGUGAAGCUGGUAACUGGGGCUAAGUCGUAACAAGGUAACCA
This 1487-nucleotide ribosomal RNA is filed under the name uncultured bacterium. RNAcentral describes it as "SSU rRNA". It matches the Rfam family "Bacterial small subunit ribosomal RNA". The record is from RNAcentral.